This 338-nucleotide long non-coding RNA is filed under the name Vulpes vulpes (red fox). Its description in RNAcentral is "lncRNA (ENSVVUG00000014051.1)". The record is from RNAcentral. Lineage: Eukaryota; Metazoa; Chordata; Mammalia; Carnivora; Canidae.
CCAAGACCUCUCUGACUCAUCAGUGGUACCUGGAUUGAGAGAGAUAUGCAGAAUCCCAAUAAAUCGACAAGUAUGGCAAAACUUAAAACAUGGCAGGGAUGGAUUGUGGCACUGCAAUUUUCCUGCUGAAAUUGUGGAAACCAAAUGUUGCACAGAUGAAGAAAAUGAGCCCCAGAAAUGUUUCACAAUAGUUCCUGACCACACCAGAAGUUGUGGCUCAAGAUAUCCUGCGUGGCUUUCUUCCCACCACACCAGACGUGUUGUACUAUGGAAACGCAACAUAAACCCACUCUGAUUGAGCUCUUUACCAUGAACCCAGAAAGAUAAGCAGCAGCCCA